This 470-nucleotide ribosomal RNA is filed under the name uncultured bacterium. RNAcentral describes it as "bacterial SSU rRNA". It matches the Rfam family "Bacterial small subunit ribosomal RNA", at positions 335 to 802 of the family's 1533-position model. The record is from RNAcentral.
ACUCCUACGGGAGGCAGCAGUGGGGAAUAUUGCACAAUGGGGGAAACCCUGAUGCAGCCAUGCCGCGUGUGUGAAGAAGGCCUUGGGUUGUAAAGCACUUUCAGUAGGGAGGAAGGUAGUGUAGUUAACACCUGCAUUAUUUGACGUUACCUACAGAAGAAGCACCGGCUAACUCCGUGCCAGCAGCCGCGGUAAUACGGAGGGUGCGAGCGUUAAUCGGAAUUACUGGGCGUAAAGCGCAUGCAGGCGGCCUGUUAAGUCAGAUGUGAAAGCCCGGGGCUUAACCUCGGAAUUGCAUUUGAAACUGGCAGGCUAGAGUCUUGUAGAGGGGUUAGAAUUUCAGGUGUAGCGGUGAAAUGCGUAGAGAUCUGAAGGAAUACCAGUGGCGAAGGCGGCCCCUGGACAAAGCUGACGCUCAGAUGCGAAAGCGUGGGAGCAAACAGGAUUAGAUACCCCGUGGUAGACUGUCA